AGUUGAGCGGAGAUAUAUGGAGCUUGCUUUAUAUAACUUAGCAGCGAACGGGUGAGUAACACGUAGAUAAUCUAUCCUAUACUGGGGGAUAGCCCGAUGAAAGUUGGAUUAAUACCGCAUAUAGCUAUAUAGUUGCAUGAUUAUGUAGUGAAAGAUUUAUUGGUAUAGGAGGAGUCUGCGGCACAUUAGCUAGUAGGUGGGGUAAAGGCUUACCUAGGCGACGAUGUGUAGCCGGUCUGAGAGGAUGAACGGCCACAAUGGAACUGAGACACGGUCCAUACUCCUACGGGAGGCAGCAGUGGGGAAUAUUGCACAAUGGGGGAAACCCUGAUGCAGCAACGCCGCGUGAGUGAAGAAGGUUUUCGGAUUGUAAAGCUCUGUUAGCAGGGAAGAGGAAGGACGGUACCUGCAGAGGAAGCCACGGCUAACUACGUGCCAUCAGCCGCGGUAAUACGUAGGUGGCAAGCGUUGUUCGGAAUAACUGGGCGUAAAGGAUGCGUAGGCGGUUAAACAAGUUAUAUGUUAAAUAUAUAGGCUUAACCUGUAGAAAGCAUAUAAAACUGUUUAACUAGAGUGCAGGAGAGGUAAGUGGAAUUCCUAGUGUAGCGGUGAAAUGCGUAGAGAUUAGGAAGAACACCAGUGGCGAAGGCGACUUACUGGACUGUAACUGACGCUGAGGCAUGAGAGCAUGGGGAGCAAACAGGAUUAGAUACCCUGGUAGUCCAUGCUGUAAACGAUGGGU
RNAcentral lists this ribosomal RNA (742 nucleotides) under uncultured bacterium. RNAcentral describes it as "bacterial SSU rRNA". It matches the Rfam family "Bacterial small subunit ribosomal RNA", at positions 60 to 814 of the family's 1533-position model. The record is from RNAcentral.